This 492-nucleotide ribosomal RNA is filed under the name uncultured bacterium. RNAcentral describes it as "bacterial SSU rRNA". It matches the Rfam family "Bacterial small subunit ribosomal RNA", at positions 903 to 1397 of the family's 1533-position model. The record is from RNAcentral.
AAAGGAAUUGACGGGGACCCGCACAAGCAGCGGAGCAUGUGGUUUAAUUCGAAGCAACGCGAAAAACCUUACCAAGACUUGACAUCGCGCGCAUAGCCCGGAAACGGGUGAAAUCCUUCGGGACGCGCAGACAGGUGGUGCAUGGUUGUCGUCAGCUCGUGUCGUGAGAUGUUGGGUUAAGUCCCGCAACGAGCGCAACCCUUGUGAACAGUUGCCAAUAUUAAGUUAGGAACUCUGUUCAGACUGCCGUGGUUAACACGGAGGAAGGUGGGGAUGACGUCAAAUCAUCAUGCCCCUUACGUCUUGGGCUACACACGUGCUACAAUGGCUACUACAAAGAGCUGCAAGCCUGCAAAGGUCAGCGAAUCUCAAAAAAGUAGUCUCAGUUCGGAUUGUGGGCUGCAAUUCGCCCACAUGAAGUCGGAGUUGCUAGUAAUCCCAAAUCAGCAUGUUGGGGUGAAUGCGUUCCCGGGUCUUGUACACACCGCCCGU